Molecule: ribosomal RNA, 253 nt
Filed under: uncultured bacterium
Lineage: Bacteria
Description: partial 16S ribosomal RNA
Rfam family: Bacterial small subunit ribosomal RNA
Source: RNAcentral
UACGAGGGGGGCAAGUGUUGUUCGGAAUCACUGGGCGUAAAGGGAGCGUAGGCGGGUGCUUAAGUUGGAUGUUUAAAACCGGGGCCCAACCCCGGCGUGGCAUUCAAAACUGGGCAUCUUGAAUGGGACAGAGGCUGGUGGAAUUGGGGGUGUAGCGGUGGAAUGCGUAGAGAUCCCCAAGAACACCUGUUGCGAAGGCGGCCAGCUGGGUCCACAUUGACGCUGAGGCUCGAAAGCGUGGGGAGCAAACAGG